UACCAGCCCCACGAGUGGUCGGGACGGUUAUUGGGCCUAAAGCGCCCGUAGCCGGCCCAGCAAGUUCCUGCUAAAAUCACCGGGCUCAACCCGGUGUUUGGUGGGAAUACUGUUGGGCUAGGAGGCGGGAGAGGCCGGGGGUACUCCUAGGGUAGGGGCGAAAUCCUAUAAUCCUAGGAGGACCACCAGUGGCGAAGGCGCCCGGCUGGAACGCGCUCGACGGUGAGGGGCGAAAGCUGGGGGAGCAAACCGG
Molecule: ribosomal RNA, 253 nt
Filed under: uncultured archaeon
Lineage: Archaea
Description: partial 16S ribosomal RNA
Rfam family: Archaeal small subunit ribosomal RNA
Source: RNAcentral